UCUCCGUUAGUAUAUCGGUUAGUACACGCGCCUGUCAUGAAUCAGAUUGUCUGCGCGCGCGAAAGCGGGGUUCGACUCCCCGACGGAGAG
Molecule: non-coding RNA, 90 nt
Organism: Amanita rubescens
Lineage: Eukaryota; Fungi; Basidiomycota; Agaricomycetes; Agaricales; Amanitaceae
Source: the annotation of a GenBank genome assembly